RNAcentral lists this ribosomal RNA (496 nucleotides) under uncultured bacterium. RNAcentral describes it as "partial 16S ribosomal RNA". It matches the Rfam family "Bacterial small subunit ribosomal RNA", at positions 28 to 507 of the family's 1533-position model. The record is from RNAcentral.
GAUGAACGCUGGCGGCGUGCCUAAUACAUGCAAGUCGAGCGAACGGACGAGAAGCUUGCUUCUCUGAUGUUAGCGGCGGACGGGUGAGUAACACGUGGAUAACCUACCUAUAAGACUGGGAUAACUUCGGGAAACCGGAGCUAAUACCGGAUAAUAUUUUGAACCGCAUGGUUCAAAAGUGAAAGACGGUCUUGCUGUCACUUAUAGAUGGAUCCGCGCUGCAUUAGCUAGUUGGAAGGUAACGGCUUACCAAGGCAACGGUGCAUAGCCGACCUGAGAGGGUGAUCGGCCACACUGGAACUGAGACACGGUCCAGACUCCUACGGGAGGCAGCAGUAGGGAAUCUUCCGCAAUGGGCGAAAGCCUGACGGAGCAACGCCGCGUGAGUGAUGAAGGUCUUCGGAUCGUAAAACUCUGUUAUUAGGGAAGAACAUAUGUGUAAGUAACUGUGCACAUCUUGACGGUACCUAAUCAGAAAGCCACGGCUAACUACGUG